UGCGUAGGUGGUUUUCCAAGUUUGGUGUGAAAUCUCCCGGCUCAACUGGGAGGGUGCGCCGAAAACUGGAAGGCUAGAGUGUGGGAGAGGAGAGCGGAAUUCCUGGUGUAGCGGUGAAAUGCGUAGAUAUCAGGAGGAACACCUGCGGUGCAGACGGCUCUCUGGACCAUUACUGACACUGAGGCACGAAAGCGUGGGGAGCAAACAGGAUUAGAUACCCUGGUAGUCCACGCCCUAAACGAUGCACACUUGGUGUGGGUCAUUCAUUUGAUCCGUGCCGGAGUUAACGCGUUAAGUGUGCCGCCUGGGGAGUACGGUCGCAAGGCUGAA
Molecule: ribosomal RNA, 330 nt
Filed under: uncultured bacterium
Lineage: Bacteria
Description: bacterial SSU rRNA
Rfam family: Bacterial small subunit ribosomal RNA
Source: RNAcentral